This 3357-nucleotide unclassified non-coding RNA is filed under the name Ceratitis capitata (Mediterranean fruit fly). Its description in RNAcentral is "anaphase-promoting complex subunit 2, transcript variant X6". Lineage: Eukaryota; Metazoa; Arthropoda; Insecta; Diptera; Tephritidae. The record is from RNAcentral.
UAUACAAAGUUUAAAAGUAUUUGAAAAUAUGUGCUGAAAUGGUUGAUAUAGAUAAUUUAUGGAUAGAAUUAUCAAGGAAUUUUCCUGUCUUGAGUGGAAGCGUUUGUUUCGUGGAGACGGACAGUGGAAACUUUCAGAAAUUGCGCGAAGAUGUGAUAAGACUGGGACUAAGCGAGAGUGUUUCUGAAAUAUUAUGGAGUGAAUUUCAAUCUGCCAUUCGAGAUAAGGUUGUUCCUUUGUUCUGGUCAAAUUUUCCAGUUCGAGUUGAUACUUCCAAAUGCGACUUCGAAUUGCGAUAUCAAUUAUUUCUUCGAUUUGCUGCUGCGGUGGAGAAUUUGUAUAAAACCUUCAAUUGUCUAAAGCUGCUAUUGAACCGAUUAAACAAACUGUCUCUUAUUCCAAAUAAAAAAUGGAAUUUAAAUUCUACAUUAUUGGAAGCAUUAUUGGGCCAGAUGCCAACAGGAUUUAAUGAGGCGGUACUAGCUUUUUAUUAUGUGGCAUUCCAGAUUCACUUGCAGUUGCAUUCCAAAAAUGCUAGAGUUCUUCUAGAUGCAGAUGUGAUUCUAAAAAAAGCAGAGUGCCAUGUUUGCAACAAAAAAAUAAAUUCUUGUGAAUGUCUGAGUUUGGAAAGUACGGUAAAUAAAGUAAAUACAGCUCUCCGAGAAAUGGAACUUCUAGAUGGUAUUGCAGGUCAGAGCUUAACAUCUCUUGUUCAGAAAUGUAUUCAAGAACAUAUUAAGGAAACUUGUCAUGGAAUAUUUGAUAGAAGCUUCCUGCGCCAACUGGAAAAUUGGCUGGAUGAAACUGUAAUCAGUUGGCUUAGGAAGGUUUUCAGUCCCACAUGCCUAAACACAUCGGUCAAUGACGCGGAGACAACUAAUAUUGUAAAAGGAUUCAAAGUGAAAUUAACAUAUUUUUUAUAUGAAAAUGUAGCACUUAGUAUUAUUGAGCAAUUUUUCAGUAUAAUUAUUGAUUUUCCUGAAUCUAUUCCUGCUAUAAAUGAUUUAAAAAUUUGUAUGGAAAAGAUAGAUAUGAGAAAACACUUUAUUCAAACUCUCUCAAAUACCCUUAAAAUUCGAGUUCUACAUCCGGGCGUAAAUACAAUGGAUAUUUUAACAGGCUAUAUUGCUGCUAUUAAAGCAAUUCGGUAUCUUGAUAAUAGUGGGAUUAUAUUGGAGACUGUAACGGCUCCAAUUAGAGAGUACCUUUGCAAACGGAGUGAUACAGUUCGUCGAGUAGUGACAGGUCUAACUGAAGAAGGUCCUACUGAUUUAACAGAGGAGCUUGCUAAAGGAGAAACUGUAAAAGACAAUGAUAAAAUUGAUGGCAAUGAAGAGUUAAAUAAUUGGGAAAAUUGGUUGCCAGACUCAUUUGGUAUUGAUCAAUCAGCGCGCGUGCAGCUUACAAAUAUUAACCGGUCAGCAGAUAUAAUUUCUAUGGUAGUCGAUAUAUACGGAAGUAAGGAAUUGUUUAUGAAUGAAUAUCGCAACUUAAUGGCAGAUCGUUUACUGACAUCUUUGGAUUUCAAUGCUGAUAAGGAAAUUCGAAACUUGGAAUUACUUAAGCUUAGAUUCGGUGAGUCUCUACUUCAUAGUUGUGAAGUUAUGCUGAAGGAUAUAACAGACUCAAAACGUAUUAACUCCCAUAUCGCUAGUGACUCCAAAUUCAACGAAAAUAAAAUGUUUGAUAUAUCAACAUUUAUAAUAUCUGCACAAUUUUGGCCGUCAUUCAAUAAGGAAAGCUUAGAACUACCUGAGGAAAUUGCCAAUGAAUUCGACAAAUAUACUAAAGCUUAUGAAGCAUAUAAAGGCAACAGGACAUUAAAUUGGCGACCAGUAACCGGCCGAGUUAGUAUAGUUAUUGAAAUAGGAGAACGAAUCAUUGAAAUGGCAGUAGCACCAACCCAGGCAAUCAUAUUGUAUCACUUUCAGAGCAAAGAAUCCAGAAUUUCAAAGUCGCAUGUAUUCAGUAGGAAUAUAUCACAGAAUAGCAGUGAUUUCGCGAAGCGACCCAAAUCGAAUCAAAUAUCGAAGAGAACAAAUGCACGGCGUUUGGUCGAGUCUGGAUUUCAUGGAAAGCAGCAUGCAAGAAAUCGCUUCUGGCCAAAAACAAAAGAAAACAACAUGUAGACUUUACCCAUUCUAAUUGGCUUUCGACUCUAAACUAGUCGAAGUAUGUCGUUUGGAACUAUGAAACGAAAAAAACCUCAUUAGUCCUGAUGGUCGGAGGUAUUUUCAAAAGCCCAUUGACCAAAAAUAAAUAGAAAUCUCAUUUUUGAGAAAGUAAAAACGGUAUGGGAGCUAUUAAAAUCUUUAACAAGAAUGCGAAAUCGGUGAGGCAGUGUUAAAGCAGAAGGGUUAUGCAACCAAAUACUAACUAAAAGAUAAUAUUUGAAUUUAUUGACCAUGAAAACUCAAAUAAAUUAAGGUACAAACUGUACCAGGACAACGAUCCCAAACAUAAAUCAUUGCUGUGCAGGACGUGACUACUAAAUAAUUGCAGUAAAGUUAUUGACACUCCCGCUCAGAGUCCUGACUUCAGCCCCAUACAAAAUUUAUGGGCUUUUAUAAUGAAGCAAGCUGGCGAACGGGGCCCAACUAAUAAAAACCGCUCUUAUUAAGGCCAUUAAGGAAGAGCGGAACGAAAUACCUGGAAAUUAUGACUUAAAUAACCUUAUUCGGAACAUGCCCCGUCAUAGUCGAGCUGUUAUAGAUGCAAGUGGCCAUCAUUCCAAAUAUUCGGAGGUGUAUAGAAAACGACACAGAAUUGCUUAUUUAUCGGAAUGAAAAUCAAUAUCUGCAUGAAAUGGUGUUAUGCAACCGAUUUGAUUUUGCUUUUUCCGAAGAUAUGCAAAACCGAUAUUCAAAUCAGCUGUCAUCACAGUUGUGCAAAAAAAAACAGUAAUUCAAUUUAAGUUUUGUACUGUUGUUAACACAUUUGAAAUAAUUAAAAAUAAAAUGACUUCGGCAGAGAUAGCAUUUAUAAUGAAUGAAGGAUAUCGAGAAAUAAUGCAGAAAAAACCCAAAAUUGUAAGGGAUCGAGCAAUCCGUUGAAGCUACCAGAGUCGAUUUCACUAAUCUUAUUUUCCUGCAUAGUUCGAUUCAUUCCGAUUCUGUUCAUCGUUGAGACGGAUGCACGUUGAAAUGAAUGCAAAUUAUAUUUAAGACUUUAAGACCUCAUGGAAGAGUAAAAAUAACCCUUCAAUUUAUUUCAAUUAUUGAGUCGUUAUCGCUGUUCGGUGACGAAUGUCGGUAAAGUUGAAAACGAAAUGAAGGCCACGGAUUAAGCGCUAUGAGCUGUUAACACACUAAUAAUUAGCGAAGCUACGACGUACCUUUGCCAUAUAGAGAAAAAUAU